Molecule: long non-coding RNA, 410 nt
Filed under: Elaeis guineensis (African oil palm)
Lineage: Eukaryota; Viridiplantae; Streptophyta; Magnoliopsida; Arecales; Arecaceae
Description: long non-coding RNA (EGUI_LNC068400)
Source: RNAcentral
GGUCGACUCAUAGGGUCGACCAUGCUCAUGGGUUGACUCAUGGGGUCGACCUCUAUGGAAAAGAGCAAAAAAUGACUAUUCUGUAAUUUUAGCCUGCAGAACAGCAGAGGUCGAUUCAUAGAGUCGACUCAUGCCAAGGGGUCGACCCAUGGGGUCAACUCACAGAGUGUGCCAGCCAACAAAUUUUGCAUGCCGUUCAGCUCUUCUAGCCAUGAGUCGACUCAUGGGGUCGACUCAAAAAUAUAAAUCUAAUUUUUUUACAAAAUACACUUUCAAAAAUAUUAAAAUUGCCUCCAAUAGAUUGCACAUCUUCUGUUCUUGCUCUUGAGGCUUCCGAAUCAGGUCUUGAUAAAAUUACGAUUUUGCUCCUGAAAUGCAAUAAAUCUUUUUCCAAGCCAAAAUCAUUAGUA